AACGCGUACACAAUCUACCUCUAAAGCGGGGGACACCUCCUGGAAACGGGGAUUAAUACCGCAUAAUAUGCCGAAGUACGCAUGACUUUGGUAUUAAAGCAGCAAUGCACUUAGAGAUGAGUGUGCGUCCCAUUAGGUAGUUGGUGAGGUAACGGCUCACCAAGCCUAUGAUGGGUAGCCGGUCUGAGAGGAUGGUCGGCCACACGGGCACUGAGACACGGGCCCGACUCCUACGGGAGGCAGCAGUAAGGAAUAUUGGUCAAUGGUGGAAACACUGAACCAGCCAUGCCGCGUGGAGGAAUAAGGUCCUACGGAUUGUAAACUCCUUUUGACGAGGAAGAAAAUGUUAGAUUUAUCUAAUUUUGACGGUACUCGUAGAAUAAGCACCGGCUAACUCCGUG
RNAcentral lists this ribosomal RNA (401 nucleotides) under uncultured bacterium. RNAcentral describes it as "bacterial SSU rRNA". It matches the Rfam family "Bacterial small subunit ribosomal RNA", at positions 112 to 507 of the family's 1533-position model. The record is from RNAcentral.